GACGAACGCUGGCGGCGUGCUUAACACAUGCAAGUCGAACGGAAAGGCCCUGCUUUUGUGGGGUGCUCGAGUGGCGAACGGGUGAGUAACACGUGAGUAACCUGCCCUUGACUUUGGGAUAACUUCAGGAAACUGGGGCUAAUACCGGAUAGGAGCUCCUGCUGCAUGGUGGGGGUUGGACAGUUUCGGCGGUUGGGGAUGGACUCGCGGGUUAUCAGCUUGUUGGUGGGGUAGUGGCUUACCAAGGCUUUGACGGGUAGCCGGCCUGAGUGGGUGACCGGCCACAUUGGGACUGAGGUACGGCCCAGACUCCUACGGGAGGCAGCAGUGGGGAAUAUUGCACAAUGGGCGGAAGCCUGAUGCAGCAACGCCGCGUGCGGGAUGACGGCCUUCGGGUUGUAAACCGCUUUCGCCUGUGACGAAGCGUGAGUGACGGUAAUGGGUAAAGAAGCACCGGCUAACUACGUG
RNAcentral lists this ribosomal RNA (468 nucleotides) under uncultured bacterium. RNAcentral's name for it is "partial 16S ribosomal RNA". It matches the Rfam family "Bacterial small subunit ribosomal RNA", at positions 28 to 507 of the family's 1533-position model. The record is from RNAcentral.